RNAcentral lists this ribosomal RNA (253 nucleotides) under uncultured bacterium. RNAcentral describes it as "partial 16S ribosomal RNA". It matches the Rfam family "Bacterial small subunit ribosomal RNA", at positions 524 to 776 of the family's 1533-position model. The record is from RNAcentral.
UACGGGGGGGGCUAGCGUUGUUCGGAAUUACUGGGCGUAAAGGGCUCGUAGGCGGCCAACUAAGUCAGACGUGAAAUCCCCAGGCUCAACCUGGGAACUGCGUCUGAUACUGGAUGGCUUGAAUCCGGGAGAGGGAUGCAGAAUUCCAGGUGUAGCGGUGAAAUGCGUAGAUAUCUGGAGGAAUACCGGUGGCGAAGGCGGCAUCCUGGACCGGCAUUGACGCUGAGGAGCGAAAGCCAGGGGAGCAAACGGG